UACCAUCAAACAACAUGGAAGCUUCAUGC
Molecule: non-coding RNA, 29 nt
Filed under: Mus musculus (house mouse)
Lineage: Eukaryota; Metazoa; Chordata; Mammalia; Rodentia; Muridae
Source: RNAcentral